AGCUCCAAUAGCAUAUAUUAAUGUUGUUGCAGUUAAAAAGCUCGUAGUUGGAUUUCUGCAGGAGUGCCAAUGUCCGCCCACGUGCGUGUGCAGCGGCGCCCCUGCAUCCUUCGGUUACCUCCGCUCGGCAUUCACUUGCCGGCGGUAGGCUCCGAAUAUUUACCUUGAGAAAAUUAGAGUGUUUCAGGCAGGCUAAGCCGGAAUACAUUAGCAUGGAAUAAUAGAAUAGGACUACGGUCUCGUUGUUGGUUUGAGGGACUGGAGUAAUGAUUAAUAGGGAUAGUUGGGGGCAUUAGUAUUUAAUUGUCAGAGGUGAAAUUCUCAGAUUAACUAAAGACUAACUUAUGCGAAAGCAUUUGCCAAGGAUGUUUUCA
Molecule: ribosomal RNA, 374 nt
Filed under: uncultured eukaryote
Lineage: Eukaryota
Description: SSU rRNA
Rfam family: Eukaryotic small subunit ribosomal RNA
Source: RNAcentral